This is a long non-coding RNA of Micropterus salmoides (largemouth bass), 1693 nucleotides long. RefSeq lists it as uncharacterized. Lineage: Eukaryota; Metazoa; Chordata; Actinopteri; Centrarchiformes; Centrarchidae. The record is from RefSeq and is a predicted model, not a curated record. The transcript is spliced from 2 exons.
CAAACACGACAUGUUCUGUGUUAAGAGAAACAGCGUUGCUAUAUGGGCUUUUUCCCCCCAGAAGGUUGUCUAUUUACACAUCACAUAAAACAACACAGCAUUUUUAUAGAGUUGUGUUUGUAUCCGCCUGAUGAAUGUAAGUCCAAUAUUCACUCUGUUUUUUAGGCUCCACCAACACCAGAGGGAAAUAUCUGGCUCUUUAGCUGCUAAAUGCUCCACUUUCUUCACCAGCAAGUGCUGAGCAGGUGAUGUAUAGUGAGUUUCUCAGAGUUUGUGUGCUGCAGAGACUAAAAUCCAAAAGAGUAAACGUUCGUUAAAACCAAAACAAUGAUGUGGACGAUGCUAAAACAGCCCGUAUGGCUGAAGAGAACGGUAAGUAAACUCAGGACUUUCACUCAUGACAAUGAGGUCUGAGUCCCGUGUCAAAGUUGACUUGUUUUAAGGUAAAUAAAAGAUGACUUACGUAAUGUACCUAUUUUAACCCCAUGAUCUUUUAUCACAUGUUAAACGUCAUGUGACUUUGAUCACAUGACCUACAUAGCAUACUGAAGGUCCUCUACGCCUGCCACUGGACUGGUAUGGGAAACGCUCAUAUGUAUAGCUUUGGAAAGCGGUCUUCUACUGUAUAUUGUAUACACAUCCUCAUCUGUUUUGUUGUUUAGGUAUGAGGACGUGUUCCCCAGUGUGAGAUACCGUACUUUAAAACUUGCACUGCUUUGUGACACUGACUCCUCCUUCUCUUUUAAGCCCAUGACAGGAAGCAGAGAGAUUGAAAAAGUUAGUGAGACUCAGAAUGAAGGCAUGAGACACGAAGAAAAAGGAUGCAAGAAAAACCCCAGAAGAAUCAGCCAGUUCCUCUAAACAACAAAGCUUUGAGAGAGAUUAGUUUAACACACAAGGGCACGAGGAUGCCCAGAGAGACAGAGAUCACACAACCUUUUAUCUAAACUACAAGACAAGUUCACAAAAUCUGAUCCGAAGCCCUCUCUGAGUUGUGAUCAGAAUCUACGCUGCCUUUCAGUGGAUAACUGGAUCAAACAGAUUGAUCUGAGCCAGACAGGACGGGAAAGAUCGGAUCCGGGGACCGACGGUGAGGAGGACGAGGAGGAGAAGAGGAAAGGACGAAUUUCAGGAUUCCUGAGAUUUAGAGUUAAUUACAGAAGAGAAAGUAGGAUGAUAGAUGAGAGAAAAUUUGAAAUUCGAUGAUGGAAGGAGGAGAGGGAAUAGGAAAGGUGCGACCAAGGAAGAGAAGAAAUUAAGAGGAAAAGAUGAAACACAAGAGAAAACAAGGUGACAGGAGAAACAAAAACAACAGGGGUGGGGGGCUCAGUGUAAAGCUCUCUGUGUGCAAACAGCUGCACGUGUUGCAUUAUAAUUCCUGCAGGUUUCAGUGCUCUGCAGACACGUUUUAAAUUCGCAGGAGGGGCGACGGUGAGUUUCCAGCAGGAAGCCUCUGACCAGCUGCAGUGCAGCAGCUCGCAGACAACACAAACACCUCAGCAGCACCCAUGCAUUACUGCCAAUAACAACAGAAGCAGAAGAAGAAGAGGAAGAGAAGAAAGAUUAUGGACGUGCCUGUACCCUCUGGAUGUGUUUGGACUGCUUGCUUGGUUUUGAUCUCCGCCUGCCUCACAAAUCCUGUAAGCUUGUGUUCCCUCUUAAUUUGUUUCUAAAUAAACACUAGAAACAUUUA